CCUGUAGAGCGUUACAUCAAACGCAAGUAGCUUACCUUUCGGGGUAGUCAAAGCGGACGUGAUGAUACAGGAA
Molecule: non-coding RNA, 73 nt
Filed under: unclassified sequences
Description: RAGATH-18 RNA
Rfam family: RAGATH-18 RNA
About the family: Actinobacteria, Firmicutes, Fusobacteria, Thermotogae (1 example). Nearby to self-cleaving ribozyme genes
Source: Rfam by way of RNAcentral